UUGACCUCAAAUCAGGUAGGACUACCCGCUGAACUUAAGCAUAUCAAUAAGCGGAGGAAAAGAAACUAACAAGGAUUCCCCUAGUAACUGCGAGUGAAGCGGGAAAAGCUCAAAUUUAAAAUCUGGCAGUUUCACUGUCCGAGUUGUAAUCUGGAGAAGCGUUUUCUGCGUCAGACCGUGUACAAGUCUCUUGGAACAGAGCGUCAUAGAGGGUGAGAAUCCCGUCCAUGACACGGACUCCCGAUGCUUUGUGAUACGCUCUCGAAGAGUCGAGUUGUUUGGGAAUGCAGCUCAAAAUGGGUGGUAAGCUCCAUCUAAAGCUAAAUAUUGGCGAGAGACCGAUAGCGAACAAGUACCGUGAGGGAAAGAUGAAAAGCACUUUGGAAAGAGAGUUAAACAGUACGUGAAAUUGUUGAAAGGGAAACGCUUGAAGUCAGUCGCAUCUUACUUGACUCAGCCUUGCUUUGGCUUGGUGUAUUUCAAGUAGGGUGGGUCAACAUCAAUUUUGAUCGGUGGACAAGGGGAAAGGGAAUGUGGCACUCUUUGGGGUGUGUUAUAGCCUUUUCUCAUAUACAUCGGUUGGGAUUGAGGUCCGCAGCAUACCCUUGUGGCCGGAGGUUUACCUAACGU
Molecule: ribosomal RNA, 630 nt
Filed under: Phellinus sp. P12
Lineage: Eukaryota; Fungi; Basidiomycota; Agaricomycetes; Hymenochaetales; Hymenochaetaceae
Description: eukaryotic LSU rRNA
Rfam family: Eukaryotic large subunit ribosomal RNA
Source: RNAcentral